GGAAUCUUCGGCAAUGGACGAAAGUCUGACCGAGCAACGCCGCGUGAGUGAAGAAGGUUUUCGGAUCGUAAAACUCUGUUGGUAGAGAAGAACGUUGGUGAGAGUGGAUAGCUCAUCAAGUGACGGUAACUACCCAGAAAGGGACGGCUAACUACGUGCCAG
Molecule: ribosomal RNA, 162 nt
Filed under: uncultured bacterium
Lineage: Bacteria
Description: partial 16S rRNA
Rfam family: Bacterial small subunit ribosomal RNA
Source: RNAcentral